GAGAGAGUAGACGGUUCCACAAGCGCGGCUUCAGCGCCGCCUGGCGCUCGGAGGCUGCACAAGCCUCAGGGCUGCCGGAAGGAGCCACGGAAACGGAAGUGGUUCCAGAGGUCGUGAUGACGCCGACGGGAAUGGGAACGCCAGAGUUUGGCACUGAGGCGUGGACAAGGACGCUGUGGAGUUGUGGGUACUUCCGAGGUAUGGAAGAGGAUUGACUUUAGAAGCCUGUUUUGCUUACCUUCAGACAAACUCCUGAUGAAAACAAUUCUGUUUAUGCAGUUCUAAUGGUGCAGAUACUAAGGCUCAAAGAAUUCAAGUGACUUCUCCAAGGUUGCACAACUAGUUAAUGGCAGAGCUGAGAAUCAGGCUUCCGCAUUCAGCUAUGAAUUUCCAACAGUUCAUAGUAAUAACAUAUUUACAUUAAAUGUUCUUUUGUUUUAA
Phascolarctos cinereus (koala) is the source of this 441-nucleotide non-coding RNA. NCBI's taxonomy places the organism in Eukaryota, Metazoa, Chordata, Mammalia, Diprotodontia, Phascolarctidae. The record is from RefSeq and is a predicted model, not a curated record.